UACGGGGGGAGCAAGCGUUGUUCGGAUUUACUGGGCGUAAAGGGCGCGUAGGCGGCCACCGCAAGUCGACUGUGAAAUCUCCGGGCUUAACCCGGAAAGGUCAGCCGAUACUGCGGGGCUAGAGUGCAGAAGGGGCAACUGGAAUUCUCGGUGUAGCGGUGAAAUGCGUAGAUAUCGAGAGGAACACCUGCGGCGAAGGCGGGUUGCUGGGCUGACACUGACGCUGAUGCGCGAAAGCCAGGGGAGCAAACGGGG
RNAcentral lists this ribosomal RNA (255 nucleotides) under uncultured bacterium. Its description in RNAcentral is "partial 16S ribosomal RNA". It matches the Rfam family "Bacterial small subunit ribosomal RNA", at positions 524 to 777 of the family's 1533-position model. The record is from RNAcentral.